GAUGAACGCUGGCGGCGUGCCUAAUACAUGCAAGUCGAGCGAACAGACGAGGAGCUUGCUCCUCUGACGUUAGCGGCGGACGGGUGAGUAACACGUGGAUAACCUACCUAUAAGACUGGGAUAACUUCGGGAAACCGGAGCUAAUACCGGAUAAUAUAUUGAACCGCAUGGUUCAAUAGUGAAAGACGGUAUUGCUGUCACUUAUAGAUGGAUCCGCGCCGCAUUAGCUAGUUGGUAAGGUAACGGCUUACCAAGGCAACGAUGCGUAGCCGACCUGAGAGGGUGAUCGGCCACACUGGAACUGAGACACGGUCCAGACUCCUACGGGAGGCAGCAGUAGGGAAUCUUCUGCAAUGGGCGAAAGCCUGACGGAGCAACGCCGCGUGAGUGAUGAAGGUCUUCGGAUCGUAAAACUCUGUUAUUAGGGAAGAACAAAUGUGUAAGUAACUAUGCACGUCUUGACGGUACCUAAUCAGAAAGCCACGGCUAACUACGUG
RNAcentral lists this ribosomal RNA (497 nucleotides) under uncultured bacterium. Its description in RNAcentral is "partial 16S ribosomal RNA". It matches the Rfam family "Bacterial small subunit ribosomal RNA", at positions 28 to 507 of the family's 1533-position model. The record is from RNAcentral.